This is a long non-coding RNA of Polypterus senegalus (gray bichir), 5994 nucleotides long. RefSeq lists it as uncharacterized. NCBI's taxonomy places the organism in Eukaryota, Metazoa, Chordata, Cladistia, Polypteriformes, Polypteridae. The transcript is spliced from 4 exons. The record is from RefSeq and is a predicted model, not a curated record.
CCUUGGGGUCGCAAACAGUUACUGAAGAGGUGCUGAGGACAAUUCUAGUGGAAGUAGAAGGGAUCUUAAACGCAAAACCUUUGGGGUACGUUUCUUCCAAUUUAGCUGAUCUUGACCCAGUGACCCCCAACUAUCUGCUUAUGGGGCAACCUGACUCAUCUCUUCCUCAGGUUGUCUAUCCUGAAUCAGAUCUCUUGACUAGAAGGAGAUGGAGACACAGCCAGGUGCUGGCAGUUAGUUUUUGGUCAUGCUUUCUUAAGUAUUACCUACCAAAUCUUCAGACACGUCAGAAGUGGCAGAAAGAGGCAGCUAAUCUAGCUGAUGGAAAGGUAGUAAUGCUUCUUGAUCCACAGUUACCCAGAGCUUCAUGGCCUGUAGGUAGAGUGCUGCGCGUCAUACCAGGAGCUGAUGGACAAGUUCGAACAGCUGAAGUAAGGAUUAAUGGAAGAGUGUAUACUCGACCUGUGACCCGACUUAUAGAACUUCCAGAAAUAUCUGACGAUGAGCCUUCCAGUGAAAAACCUUCAGAAUGACGUAAGAGGUCAAAUGGCGGCUGUAAAAAAGGCUCCUGUGCCUUUAAGGCACUGAAGCAUGAUCACGUGAAAACCGUGGUGUGUGCAGUGAGCAUGUGCGUUUGUGAGAUGUACCUCGUGAAAGCCGGAACUACUGGAGCCACUAGAGAAAGUUUAAGUUUGUGCGUUGUUGACCAAAUACUGACGAUGGCUGAAGCCCAGCUGUUUGUGUCACAGGACGAGUUCACCUGCUCGGUGUGUCUGGACACUCUGACUGACCGCAUGUCACUGCAUUGUGGUCACAGUUUCUGUCUGAAGUGCCUCACAGACUGCUGGGAUCAGAGCCAAGAGUGCUGCUGUCCUCAAUGCAGAGAAAACUUCACCACAAGGCCUGCUCUGUGAAGAAAUAAUCUGCUGAAUGAAGUCAUCAAGAAAUUAAAGAAGACAACAAUCAGUCCUCCUCCUUCUCCUCCUUCUCCUCCUCCUCAGAAUUAAACCGGCCCUGGAGACGUGGAUUGUGACUUCUGUACUAGUAAGAAGUUCAGAGCGGUGAAGUCCUGUCUCACCUGCAUGGCCUCCUACUAUCAGACUCACCUGCAGCCUCACUAUGAAGGAGACGCCUGGAAGGGACACAAGCUGACUGAUCCUGACAGAAAUCUGAAGGAGAAACUCUGUUAGAAACAUCAGAAAAGUUGGGAGAUAUUCUGUAAAACUGAUGAUUGCUGUAUCUGCAUGAUGUGUGUGGUGACUGGACAUAAUGGGCAUAAAAUGGUUGAGCUGGAGACAGAAAGGGAAGAAAAGCAGGUAAAUAUUUCCAAGUUGAUUCUCUGAUCUAUUACUCAGUAACAGAGAGGAGAAAUUGCCGAAAGUCUGGAUGACCUCAACGUCAUGGUGAUUCUCACCGACUUUCCAGAAAGUGAGAACGCCUAUUUUGAUUCCGGAUCGGGGAAUCCUUACCAGCACAACAACCUCCAAAUGGCAGGAAUCGGGACACCACAGCCGAUAACGAGUUUAACGAUAAUACCACGAAUUUUUAUGAGUGUGCAGACUGCGGGAAGAAGUUAUUGCAAAAGCGUUACCUCUGCAUACACGAGAGAAGUCACACCGGGGAGAAGCAGUACCACUGCAAUGAUUGUGGAAAGUCAUUUGCGUGUAAACCGUAUCUCCAGACACACCAUACGAUUCCUGCCUGAGUGAAGCCGUACUGCUGCUCCUACUGCAGUUAAGCCUUUGUGUGUAAGGUGUACCUCCAGACUCACCAGAAGACUCAUUCCAGAGAGAAGCCGCACUGCUGCACAGAAUGCAGGAAGCAUUUUAUUUACAAGCGCCACUUCCUGGAGCACCUGAAGACACACAGCGAAGACAAGCCAUUUAGCUGCAGUGAGUGCGGGGAGAGUUUCACAGACAAAAGAUCCCUUCAACACCACCAGAGGUGUCACACCAGCAAAAACACCUUCUUCUGCAAGGAGUGUGGGAAGACGUUUGCCUACAAGAACAGCCUCAAAUUCCAUGAGUAAAUUCACACCCGGGAGCAGCCGCACUGCUGUAUGGAGUGUGGGAAGAGCUUCAUUCGUAAAAUCGACCUUCAGCGACAUCAUCUGUCGCACACUGGCGAGAGACCCUACGGCUGUGUGAAAUGUGGAAAGAGGUUCACAAAGUAAAGAAUCCUUCAGCACCAUCAACAGCUUCCCAGCUGAGACAAGAUAUUCAGCUGCAAGGAGUGCAGGAAGACCUUUGCCUACAAGUACAGCCUGAAGGGCCACCAGCAGAUUAUGGUGGACAAACUGCAUUCUUGUAGCGAUUAUGGAAAGAGGUUCAUACGUAAAACCAAACUCCUGCAGCAUCAGAGAAUCCACACCGGAGAGAAGCCACACAAUUGCCCCGUGUGUGGGAAAUGCCUCCAAGUGGUCGGCGGACUGCAAGAGCAUUUGGUCAUUCACACCGGGGAGUAUCCGUAUUUCUGUAACCAGUGUGGGAAAAGAUUUAGACUGAAGGGGGAACUUCAGCAGCAUCAGAGGAUUUACAAAGUGGGGAGCAGCCAUUUUGUUGCCAAGAUUGUGGGAUGACCUUCAUCUACAGCUGGUACCUUCAACACCACAUGAAAAUUCACACCGGGGAGAAGCCGUACUCCUGCGUUCACUGCAGGAAGAAAUUUACACACAAGUGCAAUCUUCGGCAGCAUCAGGUUAUCCACACAGGAGAGAAGCGGUUCUUCUACAUGGACUGUGGGCAAGGACUCACUUAUAGAAGCCCUACUCUUGUACUAAAUGUGGGAAGAGAUUCCGCGGAUUAAACACUCUGCUGAAGCACAGGAGAAUCUAUGCCAAAAACCUGGCCUCAAACGAGGCAGAGAAGCUCGAACAGCUUGCAGGAGAGUUACCGCUCUGUCUGUGUUAUUGACGUGACUCUUUGGGGGUUAAACAGACAUAUCUGCUAGUGUACAAGUGCCCACCCGAAUGAUCCGAGGCAUCUUGUCUAUUCUCGUUUAAAGGGAUUUCUUGGGUGGAGACCUCCCUCGGUAAUCCCUGAAGACCAGGACAUUUGUUACUACAGAGCUGUCACAGAUCACUUCACGUUCAUGGGUGAACCCUGUGAACGCUCCGACAACAAAAAUGAAUAGGAAGUUUGUAAUAUAUUUGGAGCUUACUUCUUGCUUUAACCAUCCUUUAACCAUCUGUGCUUCGCCAUUUCCUGUGCAUGGAAAAUCAAGACUGUGGCUUUAAGGCGGGUACGGGGAUGGAGGUUUUUAAAUCUUAACGUGAGUGUUCUGAGUCAUUGCAAGUGUGCUCUCUCAGAAAUGUGAAUACUCUAAACAAUGAUGGCGGUGUCCGGGAUUAUUUUUGGAAAGGCGGAGACAAAACGGCUCAUGACAAACAACCGUAGAAUUUAGUAAAGGGUCAUGGAGUUCAAGCGGAAACCUUGAGAACUUUUAAAAUGGCGUCUGAAGAAGAUAUUAGAUAGCGUCACACCAUACAACUUCAAGUUGGAAAGAACCUCACACUUAACAACUGGACUUGCUGGAUCUGAUGAUGUUGAAUUUUAUGACUUGAAAUUAUACACGAUAACCGUUAGACCGGCGUCACACUACACACGUCUGAGUCGGAGAACAUGUCACACUGCACAACUGGAUUUACAUGACCUCAUUGCUUUGAAUUACAGGAUUUGGAAUCACAGGCAAUGACCGUUAGGCUGGCAUCACACUACACAACUUCAAGUUGGAGUGCAUUUCAAAUUUUAAGACCUUUAGUUGCCGGGCUUCUUUCUUGCAUUACACGAAUAGGAAUGGUGCGGUAUAAUGGAUGACAUGACUCCUUCACAAUAUUUUUCUAAGGAUUGCCAGCUUACUGCAUGUUGUCAAAUCAAUUAAUGUGCUGCAUUUGGCCAACAUCACAGUACGAGACUUCAAGUUGGGGAACAUGUCUGACGAGAACAGGACUUGCUGUGUUUGGUCUCUGUGAGGAGGUCAGAUUGCACGACUAGGAUUCACAUAGGAUUACAGUUUCCACGAUUCCAUCGCAAAUUCUCAGCAGCUUUAAAUUUCUGAAUUAUCACAAGUUCACUGUAUUUUGACAUCUGCUUAAUGUCCUGUGUUAAUUCAAAUGUCAUUCUACCCGAUUUUAAUGACUUUAAUUGGUGGGCAUCUAACGACUAAUGAAUUCUAUGACUCCCUCGUGAAUUUUCUGCCCAGUUUCUACUUUUCUAAGCAUUUCAGACUCAUUGUAUUUUGACACCAAUUACUAUGCUGUCUGAUUCUAGAAUUACAAUGCCAAUGUCUAGUCAAAGAGCAUGUCACACUUAACAGCUACACCUACCUGGUCUCAUUUCCUUCAAGGCGUCUGAUCUUAUGAUUAGGAAUCACAAUAAGUGACUGUAAGGCCAGCUUCACACUUUAUGACUUUGAGUUGGAUGGCAUGUCACACUUAAUACAGUUGGUGGAUCACGUUGCUGUAAAUGUGUCUGAUCUCCUGACUAGGAGUCACCUUAAAUGACCAUUUAGCCAAUGUGACACUAUUUGACUUUAAGUUGGACAACGUCACACUUAACAACUACAGUUGGUGGAUCUCGUUGCCUUAAAGAUCUGAGAUUACACAUCUCGGAAUGUCAGGGUCUUACUGAUGACAAGACUCUCUUUGACUUUUCUGCUCACCUUCUAAUUUCCACAGUAUCUCCGUUUUGUUGACAGCCAGUUAUCAUACUGGAAUAAGAAGGUGUCACAGUAUUCAGACUCCAAGCUGGACAGCGUGUGACGCUCAAUGACUGUGAUAGCUGUGUCUCAUUGCCCACCACGCAAUUAGGAUUUGCAGAGCGUGAAGGUUACACGACUCACUCACAACUUCUCAGCAGAGAUUCAGAUUCCCUUUUGCACCGUAUCAGGGGGAAUCAAAAAGUAAAGGCAACUUCCCCUUUAACAUCGGUACCCAUGAGCAGUCCUAUCACUUCUCCACAUGAUCUUCCAGUCGGUUGUAUCACUUCCACUAAAUUCUUCAUUGGUUGGUAGAAGAAGAACCUUUCUGUCUGGCCACAAAUCCAGGUCAACACCGUAUCCUUAACCUUAUAAGACCCCAAUCCCUGACGCGGUCAAGUCAAAUCCACAAUGAGACACUGCUCUCCACAUGAUGGAGUUGAACUUCUCUUUGACAUCAAUGGCGACUCCUCCACCCUGUUGGUUUUGCCAGCCUUUCCUGACUGAUGUGUACACCUGCCGGACUCUGCUCUGAGAUAUUUCUAAAUUUAUAUUUAUUUUUUAGGCUGAUUUCUUUAUCUUAAUUUGUGAUACAAUUUGUUCAAUUUCAGUUCUCACAGACAAGACCACACCAGGAAUUUAUGACCUGGUGAGUCCCAUGGGGAUAUCACACUACACAGGCUGGAAGUCAUUGGUAUGUUUGCCGCAACUCUCCAUGGCGAUGGCUGAAAAGUUGUGUAGUGUGACGUGUAGCCAACUGAAUGAGCUCGAUGUCCUGAGCGUCUCCUAUUGUUUGUCAAACUUCAUUUUUGUAAGAACUAAACACACAAGGACUAUGGGGGUACCUGAGGUGUGUAAAUCUCAACAAGAUACCAGCCAAUGAUGUUAGAGAUGCCAUCGGAGGAUCAAACUGGAAAAAUGACAAACCGACCUUGACUACAUCCUGAUUUGCUUCACCCUUCACAUCCAAUGCCAGUCUGAUCUCUAAUAUUGAUGCAGUUAUUUUGGGACAAAUCUUAAUUUAUUUAAAUCUACAGACACAUUUUUUGAUCUCCUCAAGAAUCGUUUGCCACCCUUAGAUCUUUUUUUCCACCACUCACUACGCAAAGACUUUUUUAUAAUCGAUUUUCUACUACCAGACUCGAGCAAUUCUGUAAAUAGUGUUGAUUUACUGCCAUUCUUGUUUAUCGGGUGUGACAUCGUGGCAGGAUUUAUACAUUAAAGUGUCGUGUUUGUUUUGUGUACUGUAAUAGUUGUUUGUUAUCUUUAUUUAUCAAUAAAAUAACUUUUACCAUUUUA